Long non-coding RNA from Hirundo rustica (Barn swallow), 475 nucleotides. RefSeq lists it as uncharacterized. The transcript has 3 exons. The record is from RefSeq and is a predicted model, not a curated record. NCBI's taxonomy places the organism in Eukaryota, Metazoa, Chordata, Aves, Passeriformes, Hirundinidae.
UCCCAGAGGAAGACUGAACCCAUCUCACCAUCACUGGACCCUUUUACAGGAUAAUCUCUACUCCAACAGAACCGCAUCUGUCACUCCAGGAGGACUUAAUUGGACUGCUUCCAAAGCCUGACCAACAAGGUGUCAGGUCAUGUUCUGACUCUAUUACCACAUCAGGCAAAGUUGGGAGGAUGGAGGAAAGACAGAAGAAACAUUGGUGUAUGUGUUGUUGCUGUCUCUCUUCUGCAAAGAGCAUCUCAUAUGUAACACCCUGUCUGUCUCCGGGGGACUCCAGCCCGUGAGAGGUGCCAGUGAUGUGUUCCUGGCCCAGCACUCUGGAGAUCUAAAGCAGACUCAAGUCACAGUGCCCAUGAGAUGGACAGAGAGGCACUGGAUUUAAUAGUACCCUUCCCAAUUAAGUCUGCAGCAUGCUCAAUAUUCAUAUAAUCUCUCUCCACAAUGAUUCAUAUCUUUGGAUUUUUUUUCC